UGCCUGCCAGUGACCAUGUGUUCAACGGCCGCGGUAUUCUGACCGCGCGAAGGUAGCGUAAUCACUUGUUUUCUAAAUAAAGACUAGUAUGAACGGCCACACGAGGACUUAACUGUCUCCCUUGUCCAAUCAGUGAAACUGAUCUCCUCGUGCAGAAGCGAGGAUAUUACCAUAAGACGAGAAGACCCUAUGGAGCUUUAAACUAGAUCAACUAUUUUAACUUCUCUCCAAGGAAUUAACAGAUAACCAAAUAUGCUGAUACAAGUUUUAGGUUGGGGCGACCAUGGAGAAAAAGAAAUCCUCCCUGAUGACUCACAAACCAAGAGCCACGGCUCUAAGUAUUAAGAUACUUAACUUCCAUUGACCCAUUUUAUGAUCAACGAACCAAGUUACCCUAGGGAUAACAGCGCAAUCCAUUUCAAGAGUCCCUAUCGACAAAUGGGUUUACGACCUCGAUGUUGGAUCAGGGCAUCCAAGUGGUGCAACCGCUACUAAAGGUUCGUUUGUUCAACGAUUAAAGCCCUACGUGAUCG
This 533-nucleotide ribosomal RNA is filed under the name Megophrys wawuensis. Its description in RNAcentral is "partial 16S ribosomal RNA". It matches the Rfam family "Bacterial large subunit ribosomal RNA", at positions 1856 to 2606 of the family's 2925-position model. The record is from RNAcentral. Lineage: Eukaryota; Metazoa; Chordata; Amphibia; Anura; Megophryidae.